RNAcentral lists this ribosomal RNA (742 nucleotides) under uncultured bacterium. RNAcentral describes it as "bacterial SSU rRNA". It matches the Rfam family "Bacterial small subunit ribosomal RNA", at positions 8 to 796 of the family's 1533-position model. The record is from RNAcentral.
AGAGUUUGAUCCUGGCUCAGAGCGAACGCUGGCGGAAUGCCUAACACAUGCAAGUCGAGCGCCCCGGCGACGGGNNGGGCGGACGGGUGAGUAACACGUAGGAACGCAUCCUGAGGUGGGGGAAACCCUGGGAAACCGGGGCUAAUACCGCAUAUGGCCUGAGGGCCAAAGCCGAGAGGCGCCUUUGGGGCGGCUUGCGUCCGAUUAGGUAGUUGGCGGGGUAAUGGCCCACCAAGCCUGCGAUCGGUAGCUGGUCUGAGAGGAUGGCCAGCCACACUGGGACUGAGACACGGCCCAGACUCCUACGGGAGGCAGCAGUGGGGAAUAUUGGACAAUGGGGGAAACCCUGAUCCAGCAAUUCCGCGUGGGUGAAGAAGGUCCUCGGAUCGUAAAGCCCUUUUGGCAGGGAAGAUUGUGACGGUACCUGCAGAAUAAGCCCCGGCUAACUUCGUGCCAGCAGCCGCGGUAAUACGAAGGGGGCUAGCGUUGCUCGGAAUCAUUGGGCGUAAAGGGCGCGUAGGCGGCCCACACAGUCGGGCGUGAAAUUCCCGGGCUCAACCUGGGGCGUGCGCUCGAGACGUGCGGGCUUGAGGAUGGAAGAGGGUCGCGGAAUUCCCAGUGUAGAGGUGAAAUUCGUAGAUAUUGGGAAGAACACCGGUGGCGAAGGCGGCGACCUGGUCCAUCACUGACGCUGAGGCGCGACAGCGUGGGGAGCAAACAGGAUUAGAUACCCUAGUAGUCC